This is a long non-coding RNA of Ornithodoros turicata, 401 nucleotides long. RefSeq lists it as uncharacterized. The transcript is spliced from 3 exons. The record is from RefSeq and is a predicted model, not a curated record. Lineage: Eukaryota; Metazoa; Arthropoda; Arachnida; Ixodida; Argasidae.
CUGCAACCACGUUGACCAAGUAACGGAGCUGCAGAAAAGGAAUGAAGGCCUUGAACGGAAGGUCGCAGAGCAGCAAGACAUGAUAGCGACUACAAAGGUCAUCAUGUGCCAAACACGGUUAGGAAGAUGAAUUGAAGAAAAAGUCCCUCUUUGGCAAGCCAACAACAAUGGGAAGGGGCAGGAACCAAAAGAUGCCCUGGACCCAAGGAAUGUGAAAGCAGUUCUUGGAAAGACUUGCUCAGUGUUCCAGUGUGCCAAUAAAGAGGACCCCAAGCUCCCUUCUUCAAAAAUUGAACAAGAAGUACAAAGCAGCGGAAAGCCCCUAGCAAAGCCCCCAACACAGCCCAUUUUUUGUAUCACGUCUGGCCACACUUUUUGUGCAAUAGUAAAAGGAGUCAGUU